UGAAAGGGCAAGCGCAAAACAUGACUUCUAAUUAUGUUUUAAUAGUGUCGUAGCUAUUUCUUUCAU
Molecule: transfer RNA, 66 nt
Filed under: Limnoperna fortunei
Lineage: Eukaryota; Metazoa; Mollusca; Bivalvia; Mytilida; Modiolidae
Description: tRNA-Ser
Source: RNAcentral